Non-coding RNA from Microcebus murinus (gray mouse lemur), 1751 nucleotides. The record is from RefSeq and is a predicted model, not a curated record. NCBI's taxonomy places the organism in Eukaryota, Metazoa, Chordata, Mammalia, Primates, Cheirogaleidae.
GGCUUCACACCACUUUUCCUUGCUGUGUGUAACACAAGACAGCGAAUGGUGGAGUUUUUAAUAAAGAAAAAUGCAAACGUAAAUGCAGUUGAUAGUUGGAAAAGUGUAUUUUGAUUUUUUCAAAAUAAGUAUGCAUAGAGGGAAGAAAGUUACCUUAAAUUGGAUAAACGUGAAAUGAAGACAAGCCAUGGCAUUUACAAAAAACUUUCAGAAUAUGAAGAGGAAAGAUACCAAAUGACAAUAAGAACUGCAAAAAUCUUCAAAGUCCUUCUCAAAAUAGCAAUUCAGCAAACUGGGAACUGAUAUUCCAUGUAUUAAAUCACAGCACAUGUUAAAUGAUGAAGAUGUCAUUGGUCCUGAUCCUGAGACUGAAGGCCCUCUUAAAAAUGACAGAAAAAAUAAAUGGACAUGGAAAUGGAAAUGUCUUUCAUGAAGAUGUAAAAAUAAGUCAAUUUGAGAAGGAUAUUGAGAUCAAAAAGCUAAAAUUCAAGAGCUAAGGAAACACUAAAAGAGGUCAAGGCCAACCUUCUUGUAAAGGAAGAGAAGACCAGAUCUCUGUCCACCACUCACACUUUGAAGUCACUCCUACAGUCCUCUUUCCUUGGAAAUCUUAAGGUAAGUAUCAUUGUCAAAAGAAAAUUUAUUCCAAGGGUAAACGUAGUGAUACUUGCCUAAAGUGGAAAGACUUGUGAACUAUGUGACCCAGGUUAAUUACAUUAUCUUUUUCUUGGGUUUCAUAUUUCUGAUAUAAUUCUUGUUUUUAAUGCCUUGACAUACUGAGUUGCUUAAUUGACUUACACAUUUUAAGUAAAAGUCAUAAUAUCUGUGUUAAUAGAGAAAGGAAACAGAAAUUAAAAAAUUUUUUAAGUCUCUGGAGCCCUCAUUUUCAAGAGAUAGCCAUUUGUUGUUAACUUUAGCCAUUAAACAUAUCUAAACUGACACAUUUUAAAUUUCUUUAAAAGCUGCAUUCAAGUUAAUACUAGAAAUUGAGUAUUAUCGUCUAAUAACUACACGUGUACUUUGAGAUGCUUUGGCUUACUUUCUAAUCGAUUGUCAUUUGACUUUGGUUCCUAACACUUUUAAAGUUUUCUUGCACCAUGUUAAGUUGUCCACCACUAAUCAUAAGUGAAUGACUGACAUCCUAACAUUCAACCACAGAUGGAUGUUUAUUAUUAAAAGGAAUCCAAGAUAAACACUUUCUAUGAAUGAAACAAAACCUGAAACACUAAAACAGAUUAAUUUUUGUAUUUAAGUUAAAAUAUAUGUCAUUUUUUAAAUAUAAGAGUACAUCCUAAUUGCUAUUGUACUCUUGGCAUUUUCAUCUCAAUUUUUGUGAAAUGUGUCUAUUGCUGGGCAAUUGUACGACAGUUUUUAAACUGUUAAAUCAAGCAAAUAUUUGAAUUUUUAAAAUGAAGUUCACUUAUGUCUAUUUUGCCAUCACUGGAAUGAUUAAUAACUAAUAUGGCAAUGAUAUUAAGAAACUGUAAGUGCAACUAUGAUCAAACAGAAUGAAUUAUAUUCUUCUUAGGCAAAAUUCCGUAUAAAGCCACACAUGGGCCCCAUCCCCCCGGAGAUAUAGCAGGAGCCUUCCAAUCCAACCAUGUGAUUUCACUCAUAGUGAGAAUCCAUUUUGGGGAUCUCAAAAUGAAUCCAACCAUGAUAAGCUGUAUCAAUUUUAGAGCUCAUAAGGAAAAAAAAUAGUUUAUGCUUGACCCAGUUUAGGAUAUUUUUCUAAUGUUUGGCCAUUUUUC